GGGGCGGGGCCGACGCGGGCCGUGGGCGGGGCGCGCCGCUAGUCUCCUGCUAGAGCCGCGGGGGCCGCGGAGCUGGAGCUGGAGCCGGAGCUGAAGCCGGAGCCGGGCUGGAGUCGGGGCGGGGGCCGGGCCAGAGCGGGCUCCAGCGCCAUGGGGUCGUCCGACUCCAAGCUGAACUUCCGGAAGGCGGUGAUCCAGCUCACCACCAAGACGCAGCCUGUGGAAGCCACCGAUGAUGCCUUUUGGGACCAGUUCUGGGCAGACACAGCCACCUCAGUGCAGGAUGUGUUUGCACUGGUACCAGCAGCAGAGAUCCGGGCCGUGCGGGAAGAGUCACCCUCCAACUUGGCCACCCUGUGCUACAAGGCCGUUGAGAAGCUGGUACAGGGAGCUGAGAGUGGCUGCCACUCGGAGAAGGAGAAGCAGAUUGUCCUGAACUGCAGCCGGCUGCUCACCCGCGUGCUGCCCUACAUCUUUGAGGAUCCCGACUGGAGGGGCUUCUUCUGGUCCACAGUGCCCGGGGCAGGGCGAGGAGGGCAGGGAGAAGAGGAUGAUGAGAAUGCCAGGCCCCUGGCUGAGUCCCUGCUCCUGGCCAUUGCUGACCUGCUCUUCUGCCCGGACUUCACGGUCCAGAGCCACCGGAGGAGCACUGUGGACUCGGCGGAGGACGUCCACUCCCUGGACAGCUGUGAAUACAUCUGGGAGGCUGGUGUGGGCUUCGCUCACUCCCCCCAGCCUAACUACAUCCAUGAUAUGAACCGGAUGGAGCUGCUGAAACUGCUGCUGACAUGCUUCUCCGAGGCCAUGUACCUGCCCCCAGCUCCGGAAGGUGGCAGCACCAAUCCAUGGGUUCAAUUCUUUUGUUCCACGGAGAACAGACAUGCCCUGCCCCUCUUCACCUCCCUCCUCAACACCGUGUGUGCCUAUGACCCUGUGGGCUACGGGAUCCCCUACAACCACCUGCUCUUCUCUGACUACCGGGAGCCCCUGGUGGAGGAGGCUGCCCAGGUGCUCAUUGUCACCUUGGACCACGACAGCGCCAGCAGUGCCAGCCCCACUGUGGACGGCACCACCACUGGCACCGCCAUGGAUGAUGCCGAUCCUCCAGGCCCGGAGAACCUGUUUGUGAACUACUUGUCCCGCAUCCAUCGCGAGGAGGACUUCCAGUUCAUCCUCAAGGGUAUAGCCCGGCUGCUGUCCAACCCCCUGCUCCAGACCUACCUGCCCAACUCCACCAAGAAGAUCCAGUUCCACCAGGAGCUGCUAGUUCUCUUCUGGAAGCUCUGUGACUUCAACAAGAAAUUCCUCUUCUUCGUACUGAAGAGCAGUGACGUCCUAGACAUCCUUGUCCCCAUCCUCUUCUUCCUCAACGAUGCCCGGGCCGAUCAAUCUCGGGUGGGCCUGAUGCACAUUGGUGUCUUCAUCCUGCUGCUUCUGAGCGGGGAGCGGAACUUUGGGGUGCGGCUGAACAAGCCCUACUCGGUUCGCGUGCCCAUGGACAUCCCAGUCUUCACGGGGACCCACGCCGACCUGCUCAUUGUGGUGUUCCACAAAAUCAUCACCAGCGGGCACCAGCGGCUGCAGCCCCUCUUCGACUGCCUGCUUACCAUCGUGGUCAACGUGUCCCCCUACCUCAAGAGCCUGUCCAUGGUGACUGCCAACAAGUUGCUGCACCUGCUGGAGGCCUUCUCCACCACCUGGUUCCUCUUCUCUGCCGCCCAGAACCACCACCUGGUCUUCUUCCUCCUGGAGGUCUUCAACAACAUCAUCCAGUACCAGUUUGACGGCAACUCCAACCUGGUCUACGCCAUCAUCCGCAAGCGCAGCGUCUUCCAUCAGCUGGCCAACCUGCCCACGGACCCGCCCACCAUUCACAAGGCCCUGCAGCGGCGCCGGCGGACACCCGAGCCCUUGUCUCGCACCGGCUCCCAGGAGGGCACCUCCAUGGAGGGCUCCCGUCCUGCCGCCCCUGCAGAGCCAGGCACCCUCAAGACCAGCCUGGUGGCUACUCCAGGCAUUGACAAGCUGACGGAGAAGUCCCAGGUGUCAGAGGAUGGCACCUUGCGGUCCCUGGAGCCUGAGCCCCAGCAGAGCUCGGAGGACGGCAGCCCAGCCAAGGGGGAGCCCAGCCAGGCAUGGAGGGAGCAGCGGCGACCAUCCAGUUCAUCAGCCAGUGGGCAGUGGAGCCCAACGCCGGAGUGGAUCACGCCAGUUGCACUGGAACAGGGAUCAUUGCUGUUCCUGCCUGACCACGCUGUUGUGAGGGCUAAAGGCGACAGUCUCCCGAAAGGUCCUCUCCUGGAAGUCAAAGCUGCCGCUGCAGACCAUCAUGAGGCUGCUGCAGGUGCUGGUUCCGCAGGUGGAGAAGAUCUGCAUCGACAAGGGCCUGACGGAUGAGUCUGAGAUCCUACGGUUCCUGCAGCAUGGCACCCUGGUGGGGCUGCUGCCCGUGCCCCACCCCAUCCUCAUCCGCAAGUACCAGGCCAACUCGGGCACUGCCAUGUGGUUCCGCACCUACAUGUGGGGCGUCAUCUAUCUGAGGAAUGUGGACCCCCCUGUCUGGUAUGACACCGAUGUGAAGCUGUUUGAGAUACAGCGGGUGUGAGGAUGAAGCCGGCGAGGUGCUCAGUCUAGGGGAAGGCAGGGCCCUGGUCCCUGAGGCUUCCCUGACCCACCAUUCUGAGCUUUAAAUGACCACGAUCAGGGCCUGGGACAGGCAGAGUGGCUGAGUCCUAAAUGUCAGGCCCCAGAGACCCCUGUGGCCAGGACAAUGUGGACCGACUCUGAUCUCCCUCAACCCCUAGGCUGGACUCACAGGAGCCUCAUCUCCGGGGCUAAGCCCCCAUCAGAGACCACUGCCCCCACUACUCAGACUCCCCCUUUAAGACCUGGCUCAGUGCUGUCUCCUCAGUGCCCACCCACUCCUGUCCUGCCCAGCCCCAGAGGCAGAAGCCAUCAGGUCACUGUGCCCUAGGGGAUUUGACCAAGGAACCACGGGCUGUCCCUUGAGGUGCCUGGGCAGGGUGAGGGGGUGCUUCCGGCCUCCUAACCCUGAAGCCAGCUGUUCCAGGCUCCAGGGGAAAUAGGUGUGGCCAGGCUGCUCCUCGAGGAGGCUGGGAGCUGGCUGACUGCAAAAGCCAGGCUGGGGCACCUCCCGUAUACUUGGGGCAUGGUGUGGGGUGGUGAGGGUCUCCUGCUGUAUUCUCCUGGGUCCGUGGAAAUAGCCUGGCUCCCUCUUACACAGUAAUGAGGGGUAGGGAAGGGAACCGGGGGGCAGCCAUUUAGUCCUCCCUGCCCUGCCCACUGCCUGGAUGGGGCGAUGUCACCCCCUCAUCCUUCCCCCAGCUCUGGCCCCUGGGUCCCGCCCCCCAACCCCUUGUGUCAGAACAAUCUUUGCUCUGUACAAUCAGCCUCUUUACAAUAAAACCUCCUGCUCCACA
This is an RNA transcript of Rhinopithecus roxellana (golden snub-nosed monkey), 3440 nucleotides long. It is a transcript of the gene named HID1 domain containing, with no coding region annotated. NCBI's taxonomy places the organism in Eukaryota, Metazoa, Chordata, Mammalia, Primates, Cercopithecidae. The record is from RefSeq and is a predicted model, not a curated record. The transcript is spliced from 20 exons.